This 432-nucleotide ribosomal RNA is filed under the name uncultured bacterium. RNAcentral describes it as "partial 16S ribosomal RNA". It matches the Rfam family "Bacterial small subunit ribosomal RNA", at positions 29 to 506 of the family's 1533-position model. The record is from RNAcentral.
AACGAACGCUGGCGGCAUGCCUAACACAUGCAAGUCGAACGAGACCUUCGGGUCUAGUGGCGCACGGGUGCGUAACGCGUGGGAACCUGCCCUUAGGUUCGGAAUAACUCCCCGAAAGGGGUGCUAAUACCGGAUAAUGUCUUCGGACCAAAGAUUUAUCGCCUUUGGAUGGGCCCGCGUUGGUUUAGCUAGUUGGUAGGGUAAAAGCCUACCAAGGCGACGAUCCAUAGCUGGUGUGAGAGGAUGAUCAGCCACACUGGGACUGUGACACGGCCCAGACGCCUACGGGAGGCGGCAGUGGUGAAUAUUGGGCACUGGGCGGAAGCCUGAUCCAGCAGUGCCGCGUGAGUGAUGAAGGCCUUAGGGUUGUAAAGGUCUUUUACCCGGCAUGAUAAUGCCGGUACCGGGAGAAUAGGCCCCGGUUACUACCGU